CAGAGGCCGGACACAGGACCCAUUUGUGGUCCGAGUGCAGCAUCUUUUGGCAUUCUCCUGUGCGUCGGGUUCUACGUAGAAUCGAGCUCUAUAUGCUGCUAAAUGAGCGUAGUAUGCUGGAGGCACUGCAUCAUACCCAUAAAUGUCAAUGUAUUAUGGCUAGGAAGUGGUUGGCUUUAACCAAGCAUUUAGUCCCCAGCUGGCCAAAGUCUGGCCUUCUUGGAAAUGUUAAGCUUUUGCAAGAAGAAGAGGGAAGCUCCAGGUUUGGAUCGAGCUCCUUUUGCUUCAAUCCUUCCAUGGAAGAUCCUUUUGCUCUCCUCCUUCCCUUCCUUUUCCAUAAACUAGUCUUCUCACCAUCAUUUGAGCCAUAGUGGGAUUUCAACGCCAUUUGAGAAGAUGGUAUCACAUAUUUCUCUUCUGGCUCCAUUUGCAUGUAGGGCAUUUUUAUUUUUUCUGUCACCAGAAGGAGAGUCACUCAACACAACACUUGACGAGUUGAAAGCUGACAAAGAAAACUUGAAAGAAGAUUUGUGCUGUGGUAAGAAACAACUGCCAUGUUCUCAAGGUGUGGUGUUUAAAAGAAAGGCAGCAAGCAUGCUAGCAAUCACAAGAUAAAGGAAGAACUAUCAGAGUGACAGAGAGAGAGAGAGAGAGAGAGUAGGAAAUGGUAUCAUAUCUCGACAGUGUCCUCCUUAUUCCCGAAAGCUUUAUAUACACAGUAGAAUUGGAAUCAGAUAAGCUAAACAAAGUUCAUCAUCUCCCCCUCUUCGAAAGUGGAGCCUUUGUAUCAUAAUAUCCUGGUUAGUUGGCUAACCAGAACCAUUUCAUUCAGAAUUACAGAGAAAACAGUAACUUAUAUUUAGGAGAACAACAUACAUAUAUUGUUUAAAUUAUUUGUCUGUACUUCAAAAAAAAAAAAGCAAUGGGGUUUUCUUAAUGUAUUAUUAUUAGCCUAAAUAUUUUAGUACCAAAGUGACAUGACUGCUGUCGGAUGUCAAUUAGAUCAUGUGGGUCAAACAUAAUAUUUGACCACAUCUUACACAAAGCUCACAUCUUUCACAUAAGUAAAAUUUCUCCCACUAAUGGUAUGAAAAAUUGAAUGGUAGAGGUAUAGUUUUGAGGGGCAAAAAAUGGGUUGAUGAGAUGAGUGGUCCUAAUGGAAAAGGCAGGAAGAAUUGCUAUUUAUUCCCAGUGGUUUUGCAGGAAGAAGAGGACAAAGUUGUAAGAUGGGCAAAGAAUACAAACUCUUUUCAGCGAACAAAAAGGAGCUUUAACUCAUCCCAAAGCUCACCCACAGUGCCAAAAGCAGACAAGUAUUUAGACAACACAUAACAAAGAAACUGUAGCAGCAGCUGGAAGAAGCGUCAAGUUUUAAUACUCUCAUAGCAUCAUCAUAAGACAAACAUGAAGAAGAAAGUAGAACAUUCAGAAGAUAUCAGACCAAGCUCCUUUGUCAUUAUCAAUGGGAAGGACAGGGGUUGUGCAUGCAGGUUCUGAUCUGACCAAAGAAAUGUCAAACAGAACAUGAAAAAAAACAAUGAGAUAAAUCCGAUCUGUCUGUAUUCGUAUUUUACUUUUCCCACUUCAUAUUUAUUCGAAAGCUACGGAUCACACCAAGAUUCAUUGACCAACACAAUACGACACCCAAACUGUGUGAGAACCACAACUCACUGCUCAAGUACCACAAUUCUGGAUUUUGGGAACAUUGAUCGUUUUUUUAAAAUUGUAUUGUUCUUAUGGGCACGGUAAAAAUAGAACCGAAUCUAGGAAGAUCAUGUUUACUACUAUCGUUAAAGCUAAACUUGCGAUAGAUUUGGAAAUAUUAUCUUUCAAUUCAAUUUUUUUCUUUUA
Long non-coding RNA from Cucumis melo (muskmelon), 1851 nucleotides. RefSeq lists it as uncharacterized. The record is from RefSeq and is a predicted model, not a curated record. The transcript has 4 exons. Lineage: Eukaryota; Viridiplantae; Streptophyta; Magnoliopsida; Cucurbitales; Cucurbitaceae.